Long non-coding RNA from Mytilus californianus (California mussel), 696 nucleotides. RefSeq lists it as uncharacterized. Lineage: Eukaryota; Metazoa; Mollusca; Bivalvia; Mytilida; Mytilidae. The record is from RefSeq and is a predicted model, not a curated record. The transcript is spliced from 2 exons.
CAACAUUAUCUUUGCGUUUGUAAUUGGUUCAAAGAGUCCAUGCGAUAAAAGAAAUAAAGAUACAUCGACUAAUAAAUGUGACUGAUUGAAAAAAAUUGGAAAACACUUUGAUUACAUAAAUAAAGGAGACAAAUGAGUUUAGCAAGGAUACUUUGCCGUCGUCUUACUGUUCAUCAUGGUAGUCCAGCAGUACAGAUAACUAAAACUAUAACAGAUUCAAUCUCUUCACGAUUGUUUUCGUGUAUAAGUGCUUACAGACCACAAACACUGACUUCAAUACAGGAAUCUAGGUCACAGUUCCCUAAUCAUGGACUUUCUAAGUUGUUGCUCCCUACUUCCACAUCUAUUUUAUCAGUAAGAACAUACAAACCAAAGAAUGUCUUGAAGUUAAGAUGUGAUGGCUGCUAUUUUGAACGACGAAAAGGAAGAUUGUAUGUUGAAUGUACCUUAAAACCAAGACACAGACAAAUGAAGAAAAUGCCUUCAGGUUUAUUAUACCGAGAUGAUUAUUCUAAAGGAAAAAUUCAUGAGGCAUGUUGGUGGAAAUAUCGAGCAGACAGAUAUUACAGACAAGGAGAAACUGAGUUCACACAUUUUAACUGGUUAGGGGAUAGGUUAGGAAAAGAAGUCUAAGAUAGAAAAAGUUUUUGCAUGUAAAAGUUGUGUGAAUGGAGUUUAAUAAAUGAUUUCAUCUUC